CAGUCUGCGUGGAGCCGACCUUGAAAUACCACCCUUUAAUGUUUGAUGUUCUAACGUGGACCCGUGAUCCGGGUUGCGGACAGUGUCUGGUGGGUAGUUUGACUGGGGCGGUCUCCUCCUAAAGAGUAACGGAGGAGCACGAAGGUUGGCUAAUCCUGGUCGGACAUCAGGAGGUUAGUGCAAUGGCAUAAGCCAGCUUGACUGCGAGCGUGACGGCGCGAGCAGGUGCGAAAGCAGGUCAUAGUGAUCCGGUGGUUCUGAAUGGAAGGGCCAUCGCUCAACGGAUAAAAGGUACUCCGGGGAUAACAGGCUGAUACCGCCCAAGAGUUCAUAUCGACGGCGGUGUUUGGCACCUCGAUGUCGGCUCAUCACAUCCUGGGGCUGAAGUAGGUCCCAAGGGUAUGGCUGUUCGCCAUUUAAAGUGGUACGCGAGCUGGGUUUAGAACGUCGUGAGACAGUUCGGUCCCUAUCUGCCGUGGGCGCUGGAGAACUGAGGGGGGCUGCUCCUAGUACGAGAGGACCGGAGUGGACGCAUCACUGGUGUUCGGGUUGUCAUGCCAAUGGCACUGCCCGGUAGCUAAAUGCGGAAGAGAUAAGUGCUGAAAGCAUCUAAGCACGAAACUUGCCCCGAG
Molecule: ribosomal RNA, 632 nt
Filed under: Salmonella enterica
Lineage: Bacteria; Pseudomonadati; Pseudomonadota; Gammaproteobacteria; Enterobacterales; Enterobacteriaceae
Description: partial 23S ribosomal RNA
Rfam family: Bacterial large subunit ribosomal RNA
Source: RNAcentral